Molecule: RNA transcript, 8474 nt
Organism: Felis catus (domestic cat)
Lineage: Eukaryota; Metazoa; Chordata; Mammalia; Carnivora; Felidae
Gene name: protein FAM156A/FAM156B-like
Exons: 3
Source: RefSeq, a predicted model, not a curated record
GGCAGGAGCUCUGGGCGAGGGGUGUGUGUGUGUGUGUGUGUGUUUGUGUGGGUGUGGGUGUGGGUGUGGGUGUGUUUGUUUGUGUGUGUGGCUUUUCAGAGGGCACGGUUUUUCUCCGAGUUGAACUACUCACCGACUGACUGCCCCGAGGGGCUGAAGAUGCUGCCCCAGUCGGUGGCGAGGUUCGGCGCAACAGCUCUCUUGUAGCCAGAGUCUGGCACUGGACGCGCGCCGUGACUGUGCAACUGUCUUCACGAGAAUCACGUGUGCCCGCUAGGAUUACCCUUCCUGUGUGUGUGCCCCGACCAGCCCGACACUGCCUCAGCCUGGAAGACUUUCAGGUCAGGUUCUGCUUCUCGACCGGUGUGUGCUGUGCCUGAAUUUGUGUGUCAGGCCAGCUAAAAAGAAGCUCUUUCCCUACAGCAAUGAUUUUAAAAUUCAUGGAGUAUCCACUGCAGCACUGUGAGGUAAGUGUUUUUAAGGGUAUCGUCCCUUGUUCCAUCCAGAUGAGGAAACUGAGACCCGUAGAGGUUAAGGGGUGAAGUAACUUACCCAGAGCCACCUACUCAGCAAGGGCAAGGUCAGGGUUAAAUCCAGGUCAGAGAAAAACAUACAGAGACAUGGGAUUUGGCCAUAAACUGCAGUGCACCUCAGUGUCCAGUGUCCUUUGGUUCAAAAGACAGGUGAACGUGUAAGACAGCUUAUCCUGAUUACACUGGAUCAGUGCUUGGAUAGAGCAUGAUGUCUCAGGUGCACGAGAGACUGUGAGGUGACGAGUCAAUACAGGCACAUCACUAAGUCGGGAUCUGGUUCAUAUCAAGGUCUAUACACGCGUUUGCUGCGGCAGAUUUCAGCGUUGGUAUCCUCAUCAUGAUCAUUAUGGACAGUAGUUUAUGGUAUAUAUAAUGUUUGGAAACAAAACAACAGAUAAAAUCCUAUAAAGUCGUUUUUCUAAAGACUCGAUCUCUUUGGUAUCUUGACAUUUCAAGAUAAUGAAUUGCUUUGAUAUCCUUGCCAGCUGAAAACCCAAUCAGUGCAUUUAAAGUGGAGGAGAGCUAUGUGGGACAGUAGAGCAGAGCAGUGAGGGAAGCAGAGAGGUUUGGAUGGAAGGUUAGCUAAGUCUGCAAGGGCUAUGAAAAUGCCACAGACGAUGCAGGCCAAAACCAAACCAAAUCAGACAGCAACUUGCUUGUCCCUAAGAAGAGACAGUUGUGCUAUUGAGAUAAGUAUCUCUAUUAAAAUUUCUUAGACUUUUGCUCUCUUUUGGCCCCCAGGGUGCAGUGUGUGGUUCUUACAAGGUAGCACUGCUUUGGUCACGCUGUGGGUGAGAGUGGCAGCCUCACCUGAAGCAUUCUCCGUUUGUGGGCCACCUGGAACAUGUUACUUGAAGUCUGGAGGCCUACGGAUUCAUAAGAGAAAACAGAAAGCAAAUGCAUAGUACAAUAGUUAGAUCCAGCCACCUCCAGUAGAGCCCUACAUAGCAAGUGAGAUGCAGGCACAGGUAUUGUAGUCAUUGGUUGGGAAGUAGCAGGGUUGGGUUGGGUGACUCAAAGAAGAAGCAUGGAAGUGAGUACAAGGUGAGAAAACACAUUAAGAGGGGACAAACAGCGAAAAUCCCGUUUUCUGGCCUUGCUUUUCUGCUAUGAAAAUAGAGUGCUCUAGUAUUGUGGGGAGAGGUUACCCUGGUCCGAGGUCCGGGAGGGAAUCGCUGCACUUAGUGAUGAGCGUUCUGAUGACCCACCAUGAACAGUAACGAGGGGACACUGAGUGUGUGAAGGCACAAAGGUCUCAGCCUUUACCAUAGACAGACUCAUAAAGUUUCUUAGCCUUGCUGAGAGUAACGCUGCCUCACCUUACAGAAGCUCGAAGCCGCCAUCUGGCAACACCACUGGUGCUCCUCCAUCUCCUGAUCCAGCUGGGGGGUGGCUGCCCAGGCACUGUUCCCUGAGCUGCAUAAGUAUGAUGGUAACCGUGUGUGUGUGUGUGUGUGUGUGUGUGUGUGUGUGUGUGUGUGUGGCAAAUAUAGGGUGAGAGACUCUAUUCAUUUAACUAUGAUUCACUAAAUAAGCUUCAGCUCUUACCUAGACACUGUAGACACUGUGUUGGGUGCCUGGGCGAUACAGUAAACCAAGACACAUCACUGCCUUCAUGGAGUGAGUUUAAGCCAAAUCAUUCGAGAAUAGUUAAUCUAACAAUCAUAUAAGUCAAUGUAAAAAUUACUACCGUGACUAGUGGUACCAAAGAGGUGUGUUUUAUUGAGGUCUGAUUGAUAGGUAAAGCUAUAGGUAGAGGUAUUCACAUGUACAACCCUUUCUUCUUGUUGGUGUGGUUGUUAUUAUAUGAUUAUCAUUAGCGGUAAGAACACUUUUAACAUAAGAUAAUCUCUUAGCAAUUUUAAGUAUAUAACACAGUAUUGUUAGGUAAAGGCACUACGCUCUGUAGGUCUCCAGAACAUACUUCUCUUUCAUAGUUGUAACUUUGUACCUUUGACCAUCACCUCACCAUUUACCCCUCCCCUUACCCCUGGCAGCCAUUGUUCUACCCUCAGCUUCUAGGAGUCUGACUAUUUUAGAUUGCACGUAGAAGGGAGAUGGCCCAGUAUUUGUCUUUCUGUGUCUGGUUUAUUUUAGUAGCCAUCAAGUCCUCCACGUCCAGAUGACAUGCUCUUAUCUGUGUAAAACCCUGAAGAUUCUGACAAAAAGAAAUUGUUAUACCUAAGGAACCAAUUCAGUAACAUUACUUUCAUUUUUAAAAAUAGCUUACUGGAUAUGAGAUUCUUGGUUGUUGAGCAUUUUUUAAUUUUUUAAUUACCCAGUUAGUUCCUUCUGGCCUCCAUAUUUUCUGCUGAGUAAACUGCUAUUAAUUGUAUUUCCCUCAUAAGUGACUGGUCAUUUUCUCUUGUUGUUUUCACAAUUUUCUCCUUGCCUUUGGCUUUCGGCAUGUUUACUGUGAUGUGUCUAUGAAUCUCUCAUUUAUCCUACUUGGAGUUCAUUGAGUUGCUUUCAGGCACUGUUUCUUUGAAUAUUUUUUUCUGCUCCUUUCUGUCUCUGUUCUGGUACUCUCCUGCAUCUGUGUUGGUGUUAAGAGUGUUCCAUAUGUUUGUGCAGCUCAGUUUAUUGCCUUCAUUUGUUUCCCUCACUUUCUUCAGACUGUAUAAUCGCUGUCCAUCUGUCUUCAAGAUUGCUAAAUCUUUCUCUGGUAGUUCAACUAGUGUUGAUCUCCUCGAGUGAAUUUUUCACUUUAGUUACCGCACUUUUGAACUGCAGAACUUGUAUUUGGUUCUUUUUUAAAUAAUUUUUCUCACUUUAUUGUUAUUCUGUCUUUGAUGUGACAUUUUCAUCAUACCUUCCUUUACUUUUUUGAUUGUGGUUUUCUUUGUUCUUUGGACCUGAUUAUAACAGCUACUUUGAAUUCUUUAUCAAAUCUGACAUCUGGUUGCAAGCACCGGCAGUUUUUGUUGCUUAUUCAUGCUUUCCUGUUUUUUGAAUUAUCAUAAUUUUUUUCUUGUCUAACUAUCUAAAAUAUUGGAGCAGUACUGGGUACUGAUCCAUCCCACCCCUUCCUGGGUUUGUUACCUCUGUUUCCUUGUCUAGUUGUUUAGUGUCUAGCUGGUUUAUUUUAGUGGAGUCUGUUUUCUCUCCUUACUCUCGCCCACCCCCACCCUUGUGUUAGGCUUCAGAUUUUAGUCCUCAGGGAGAGACGACUUGGGGAUGCCUACUGUCCCCUUGGGAUGACUGGUUGCGGCAGGCUUCUCUCUGAUUGUCUCUUUGCCUGACCACACCCAGCUGUUCCGGUUCACUGACUGUGGGCUACUUGUUCAACUGUUUUCAGCGAUACCCUGGAUAUAUUGCUUCAUAAUCUAAACCAGUGAAAUCCAUGCUCCUUUGAAGGGCUAGCUGCUGAAGUUACUGUUUCAGAGUUUUUCUGACCCUAGGCAGGCUCCUUGCAGCUGUCUCUUCUCCCUGAUUGUCUCAGGUAAUCCGGCCAGCCUACAGUUGAUCCUCUAUGUCCAAGACUUCUACCAGUCUCCUACCGUUUGCCUUGUACCACAACCUCCACUGUUUUGCAAGUGCCCUUGGGCUUGCUUGACCUUCUCCUCAACACCCCUUUGCAAAUGAACUUUGUUCCUCUGAGAGGAGCUAUCUGCUUCAAAACCUCUGAGCCACAACUCUGUAGUUGGGGAGUGGGGACAAUGGCAGCACAUUCUUUCUCCUGUUUUUCAGCAUUGCACUAUGUAGCGUUGCUUUUGAAAAUUUCCAUUUUUAAUUGUUUAUGGCUGGUAUACGGAAGCAGAAUUUACUUUUACAUACUGACUAUGUGUCUCUUCACGUUGCUAAACUCGCUUCUUAAUUCAAGUAAUGUUUUAUGGGUUUUUCUUACAGAUUCAGGUGUUGCCAGUGAAUAAUGACUGUUUUACUUCUUUAUUUCUUUACUUCUUUAUUUCUGCUUGACUUUUUUAUUGGCUAGAACAGCCAGGAAAAUAUUGACUAGAAGUGGUGAAAGUAUGCAUACUUACCUUGUUCCCUGUCUCAGGAGGGAAACAUUCAGACUUUCAGGAUUAACGAUUACAGUAGCUUUAGAUAUUUUUGUGGAUGCCAGUUAUCGGUUUAAGGAUGUUGCCAAUAAACUGAAUGAAUCUUGCCAUCUCCCCAACAUUCACGUUGAAACCUUUCUCCAGUAUGAUGGUGAUUGGAGGUAGGGCCUUUGGGAGGUGAUCAGGUCAUUCAGGUGAAGCCCACAUGAAUGGCAUUAGUGCCCUUAUAAAAGAGACCCACCCCUGAGAGCUCCCUCGGCCCUCCUGCCAUGUGAGGACAAGAAGUCAGCGGUCCGUGAAGCAGGAAGCAGGGCCUCACAUCCCAAAUCUGCUGGCACCUUGAUCUUGGGCUUCCUGGCAUCUGGAAAUAUGAGAAAUAGAUUUCUCUUGUUUUUAGAAGUCAUCCAGUCUGUGGUAGUUUUGUUGCAGCAGCCCUAGGAGACUAAGCUAGAAAUCCUUCUUUAUUCCUAGUUUGCUAGGAGUUUUUAUCAAGUAAAUUUAUCAAAUAAAUACUCUUUAUGCAUCUAUUGAGAUGCUUAUAUAUUUUUAGUCUGUUAUUAUGGUCAGUUAGCGUGAGUGAUUCUGAAACAUUGAACCACUCUCAAAACUGUGGAACCAUUUCACUAUGGUAUUUUGUCUUUUUUCUAUUUUGCUGGUUUCAAACAGCCGAUAUUUUAUUUUGGAUUAUUGCAUCUGUGUUCAUGAGUGCUAUUGCUCUUGUUAGCCUCAAAAGUAGAACAGCCAGUUAUUUUACCAGCAAAAAUGAGUUUAUUCAGGAAUAGCAGAGAAUUACAGUUUGGAACAAGCAACCUAAGGCAAAAUCCUAGGCAAGUUCAAUAAGCAAAGUAGAGGAACGUUAUUUUAUGGAGAAGAAGGAGGAAGUUGGAAGGGUUGUUUUGAAUGAAAGUCCAUCGAAGAAAAGCAAGAGUUUAGGGUAAUGACAGUUUCUCAUUGGCUGAGUUGGAGGCGUAGUCAGUAUCUUACAGGACAUGCAAUGUACAUCUUUUCCUGUUGGGGCCUACAUGAUUCUUUCAUGUUGAUUAUUCUUCUGUUGGGUCUAUAACUGACAGUUCUUCCUGUAAUUGACGUUGAAGUGGUAUGGUUCUCCCUUCUAGGCUCUGGACUCUAGUGAGGUUUCUCUUUUUUUUUUUUUUUUUUUUUCCAGAGUCUGUUAUUUAUUUUCUUAAUUUUUUGUCUUGCUUUCAUAUCAGGAUAUUGCUGGCUCUAUAACAUGUGUUAGGAAGUGUGACCUCAUCUUCAGUUGCCUGGAAGACUUUGUUCAAACCUGCACUAUUUCUUUCAUAUGUGUUUGAUAGAAUUUAAACAGUGAAACCAUUCAAGCCUUGAGUUUUAUGUGAGGGAAGGGUUUUUGUUUUCUGUUUGAUUUAGUGAAUUCAAUCUCUGACAGAUAUAAGGCUAGUGGUGUUAUUUUCUUGACUGGGGCCUGCGAGCCAGGGCCUUUCAAGGGGUUUUCCCAUUUCAUCUUUUUUUUGGAUAAUAUUUUCAAUAAUAUUUUCUCAUCCACUUCAUGUCUGAAAGAUCUGUAUUGAUGUCUCCUCUGGCAGUAGUGAUAUUAGUAAUCCAUGUCACUCUGCCCUCAUUCCUUAUUAUCAGUCUGGCUAAACCUAUUAGAUUUACUGGUCCUGUCACAGAACCAGCUCUUAGUUUCACUGAUUCCUUUGUAUCGAUUUUAUGAUUUCUAGUAGGUCAAUUUCUGUUCAAACCUUCAUUAUACUUUUUCUGCUUCCCUUAGGUUUAAAUUGAUUUUGCUUUUCUAAUUUCUUAAGGUGACAGUUUAGACAGUUGAUUUCAGACAGUUCUUCUUUUCUAAUGUAAAUAUUUAAUGAUAAAAAUUCCCCUCAAUGCAUUGUUGUAGAUUCACCUUACAGAUUUUGAUAUGCUGUGUUUUGGUUUUCUACUUCUUGCAGGUUCUUCUUUGAUCCCUGCAUUAUUGAGAAAUGCCAUUUAAUUUCAAAAUAUUCUGUGGUUUUCCAGACACCUUGCUGCAAUUAAUUUCUGUUUAAUUCUUUGCGGUCAGAGAACCCAGUUUGUAUGAUUUCAGCCCUUUAGAAGUUGUUGAGAUUUACUUUAUGGCACAGAAUAUGGCCUGUCUUGUGAACCUUGUGUGUGCACUUCAGAAGAUGGUGUCUUGUGCUGUCCUUCUGUAAGCAUCCGUUAGGUCAUGGCUGUUGAUAGUGUUGCUCCACUGCUCCAUAUAGUUUCUGAUUGUGUUGUCCACUUGUACUGUCAGUUGUGGAUGGGGGAAUGUUGAAGGCUUCAGCUAACUGAUUUCUCUGUUUUUCCUUUUAGUUUUAUCAGUUUUUAGCUCUUGUAUCAGUUUUUACUAAUGCAUGCACAUUCAUGAUUUUUGGAUCUUCUCGAUGACUGGACCUCUUUUAUUAAGUAACAUCUGUCUUUUCCCCUUGUGAUAAUCCUCAUUCUGAAGUAUAUUCUCUGUAAUAUUAAUUUAGCCCUUCCAGCUUUUCCUGUGAUUCACGUUUGCUGGGUGUAUGUGUCUUAGUGUGUUCGGGGUGCAGGAACAAAAUACCACAGACUGGGCGGCUUAUAAACAAACUUGGUAUCUCACAGUUUUGGAGGCUGGAAGUCCAAGAUCAGGGUGCCGGCAUAGUUGGGUUCUAGUGAGGACCCUCUUCAAAGUCACAGAUUUGUGGUUGUGUCCUCACAUAGUGGAAGGACAAAGGAUCUCUGGAACCUCUCUCAUAAGGGUCCUAAUCCUAUUCAUGAGGGCUCUGCCCCAGGGCCUCAUCACCUUCCAAAGGCCACACCUCCUAGGUUAGGAGGUAUGGGGUUUAGGAUUUAACAUAGGAAUUUUGGAGGAGACAUUUUCAAACCAUAGCAUUAUCGAUAAAUUUUCCUUUCAGUUACUUUUAACUUAAUUUAUGUAUUCAUAUUUAAAGUGAGAUUCCUUUUGACAGUACGUAGUUGGGUCUUUCUAUUUUUAUCUUAAGUGACAAAUUAGGUCUUUUAAUUGAUGUGUAGGCAGUGUACAAUUAGUGUGUUAACAGUUUACAUUUAAGUCUGCCAUCUGGCUGUAUAUUUUAUCCUAUGGAUAUUUUAUUCACAUUUUCCUUUCCUAUUCCCUCUAUAAUUUUGGAUCAGUUGAACAUUUGGUGUUAUUCCAUUUUAUCUCCACAAUUGGCUUACUAGUUAUAUGUCUUUAAACAUUUUUUCGAAACGGUUGCUCUGGGGUUCUAAUAUAUAUUGUUGCUUUUCACACUGUGCCUUCAAACGAUAUUAUACCACUUCCUGUACACUGUCAGAAUCGUAGGACUAUGUACCUUCAUGUCCUUUCUCCCAGCCUUAGUGCUAUUGUUUUCUUGCAUUUUAUUUCUACCAAGGUCGUAAACCCCACAAUACAUUGUUACUAUUAUUUAGAUGGUUUUCUUUUACUGAGAUUAAAUAUAAGGAAAAAAUUCGUAUACGCCCGCAACUUUACCACAUCCAGCACUAUUCAGUUCUUUGUAUAGAUCCAGAUUUUCUUUGGAUUUCAUUUGCCUUCUUCCUGAGGAACUCCCUUUAACGUGUUGUGUAGGGCAGAUCUUCUGGCAAUGAAUUUUAUCAGCUUUUUUAUUUCUUUGAAAGUUUUUGUUUCACCUUCAUUUUCAAGAAACAUUUGCAUUAAUCAGAAAAUUCUGGCUUGCAUGGAUUCUGAUCAGUCGUCUGCCCAUUCUGUCCUGUUUGUUCCCUUGUAUGUAAUGUAUCUCUUCUUUUCCUUUUCUGUCACAGGAUGUCAGUGUUGGUGUUUGAAUCAGUCUUUCCAUUAGUUGAUUGGGCUUGAGUCCUGUGUUGCUAUAAUCACUUUAAAUAUAAAAUAGACUUGGGAACCUGGGUGGCUCAGUCAGUUGAGCGUCUGACUUCUGCUCAGGUCAUGAUCUCCUGGUUCGUGAGUUUGAGUCCUGCAUUGGGCUCCCUGCUGUCA